UACGUAGGGGGCAAGCGUUGUCCGGAUUUAUUGGGCGUAAAGAGCGUGUAGGCGGCCAGGUAGGCCCGUUGUGAAAACUCGAGGCUCAACCUCGAGACGUCGGCGGAAACCCUCUGGCUAGAGUCCGGAAGAGGAGAGUGGAAUUCCCGGUGUAGCGGUGAAAUGCGCAGAUAUCGGGAAGAACACCCGUGGCGAAGGCGGCUCUCUGGGACGGUACUGACGCUGAGACGCGAAAGCGUGGGGAGCGAACAGG
RNAcentral lists this ribosomal RNA (253 nucleotides) under uncultured bacterium. Its description in RNAcentral is "partial 16S ribosomal RNA". It matches the Rfam family "Bacterial small subunit ribosomal RNA", at positions 524 to 776 of the family's 1533-position model. The record is from RNAcentral.